RNAcentral lists this unclassified non-coding RNA (591 nucleotides) under Hevea brasiliensis (rubber tree). Lineage: Eukaryota; Viridiplantae; Streptophyta; Magnoliopsida; Malpighiales; Euphorbiaceae. The record is from RNAcentral.
AUUUGAUAGAAUUGUAUAUAUGAACGUAAAUAGUAGCCUUUUGUUUCACUUGCCCCCCUUUUUCUCCUCUCUUCCUCUCCUCUUCAGCUCUAUUUACGGUUUUUAAAUAUCUUUUGUUGUAGAAUCAUAUAUUGUCAUUAUGUAGAAUUUUUAAAGGCCAAAAAAGAAGUGUUUUAUGGCUUAAUACUUUGCUCCAUUUAAUGGUUCUCUGGUGGCAUUGUGGGCAAUAGUAGUAAUCCAAAUAAAUCAAGCCUAGUCAUGAUACAGCUGGAACUGAGAUGUACAGUUGUUUGUAAAUUUCCUGCAAUUUUACAUAUUAUUUUCUGCUGGAAUUUCAUCACCUGAAAUCAUUGUAAGGUGCAAGCCCCAGUGCCAUACUGACUGCAAAUUGUUCGGUAGAAUGAUGUUUCUUUAUGGUUUUUUCCUUCUCCAGUGGCCUCUUGGGCUGCCAUCUAUGUGGUUCUCAACACUUACCUUUUGGUUGCUGUUGUCGACCUUAUCUGGAUGUUUAAUCCCAGAGUUUUUAUAUGCUUUCGUCCAAAACCAAGUCUAAAAGGAUAAAACUUUUCUUGGAUAUCUAAGAGAGGAGAG